Molecule: long non-coding RNA, 6002 nt
Filed under: Sus scrofa (pig)
Lineage: Eukaryota; Metazoa; Chordata; Mammalia; Artiodactyla; Suidae
Description: lncRNA (ENSSSCG00015023773.1)
Source: RNAcentral
CGAGGUCUGGGAGGGCCUGAGCAGGGCGCUUCUAUUCCCAUAGAGUUAGGAUGUGUCACUUUCCCAGUACUUGGAUGUGUUGACCAAACUGGAAGUUCUCUGAACCCCAUACUUCGGGAGUUUUAUGCAGGUUCCAUCACAUAGACAUGAUAGAUCAUUGACUCCACUUCCUUCUCUGGAGAAUUGGGGGAGUGGGCUGAACGUUAAUUUCUAGUCAUGGCUUGGUCUUUCUGGUGAUUAACCCCCAUCCUGGAGGCUACCAGGAGUCACCUCAUGAGAACAACAACAAAAAAAGACACUUCUAUCAACCAGGAAAUUCCAAGAGAUUUAGGAGUUCUGUGUUAGAAACUGGGAUUAAAGAUCAAAAAUUAGAACAAAAGAUGCUCCUAAUACAUUCAUCACUUAGGGAAUUACAAGCAUUUUAGGAGCUCCCUCUCAGGAACUGGUGAGGGUGGAUGGGUAGGAGGACCAAUAUAUUUUUUUCUGUUAUCUCAUGAUGGUAUAUCUUUUUUCUUUCUUUUUUCCUUUAGACUUUUUUUUUUGUAUUUAACAUGUGUUUCUUGCAAACAGCUUAGUGUUGGUUUUGCUUUGUUACCCAUCUGACAGUGUCUGCCUUUUGAUUGGAUAAUUAAUCCAUUUAUAUAUUUGCAUUUAAUUUUUUUUUUUUUUUUUAUUUUUUUUUUUUUUUUUUAUUUUUUUUUUUUUUUUUGUCUUUCGUCUUUUUUUAAAGCCGCACCUGCGGCAUAUGGAAGUUCCCAGGCUAGAGGUUGAAUCAGAGCUGUUGCCGCCAGCCUAUGCCAGAGCCACAGUAACAUGGGAUCCAAGCUGUGUCUGCAACUUACACCAUAGCUCUCGGCAACGGCAACGCUGGAUCCUUAACCCGCUGAGUGAGGCCAGGGAUCGAACCUGCAACCUCAUGGUUUCUAGUUGGAUUCGUUUCCACUAUACCACAAUGGGAACUCUAACUCCCAGCUUUUUAUCUUAUGUUUGUCUUUUUCUUCUCUGUUUUGUCUUAGUCACAUGUUUUUGAUAUUAUGUUUUGAUUCCUCUAUUGGCCUUUUACCUUUAUUUUUGUAUGUGUGAUUGCUGUAGAAAUUACAUUAUGUAACAAAAUAAUUUAUUGCAAUCUUUUAAGAGACAAUAUCGGAUUAUUUCAGGAAAAAUAUAGGGAGUUUUCAACUAUCUAGUUCCCUUUACUUCUCCUAACCUUUGUGCUAUAAUUAGAGUGAUCAGCUUAUCUCCUGUUUGCCUGGGAAUUUCCUGGUUUUAGCACUGAAAGUUCUGUGUUUGGGCAACUCCCUUAGUCCUGGAAAAACUGGAAAGAUUGUUUCAUCUCUGCUGUUGUUAUUAUCUUUGUUACAUCUAUAAAUGUUGUAAAUUCAACAAUAUAGUGUUAUAGUUUUUGUUUUAAGUCAGAAGCGGGCAAAAUAAUAUGGCUUCCAUGCCAAAUCUGGCUCCUAGGCCUGUUUUUGUAGGAACCACAAAUUAAAAAUGCUUUUUUGCAUUUUUUAUUUUAAGAUUGAGUUUUUUGCAUUUCUGAAGAAUUGCUAAGAAAAAGGAAAAAGAAAAACAUGAGACACAAAUAGCUAUGUGACUCACAAGCCAAAAAUAUUUACUAAUUUCGGCUGGCCCUUUUUAAAAAACUCAUAUAUGUCUAUAAAAAAAUUAAUAUAAACACACAUAUUUAUUUAUUUAUUACCUUUUAGGGCCACACCUGUGGCAUAUGGAGAUUCCCAGGCUAGGGGUUGAACUGGAGCUACAGCUGCCAGCCUACACCACAGUCAUAGCAACAUGGGAUCUGAGCCACAUCUGAAACCUACACCACAGCUCAUGGCAAUGCCUUAUCCUUAACCCACUGAGCAAGGCCAGGGUUUGAACCCGCAUCCUCAUGGAUACUAGUUGAUUCAUUUCAGCUGUGCCACACGGGAACUCCCCAAACCCUUUUUUUUUUUUUUUGCUUUUUAGGGCUGAACUAUGGCAUGUGGAGGUUCCCAGGCUUGGGGCCGAAUCAGAGCUAUAGCUGCCGGCCUACACCACAGCCACAGCAACGUCAGUUCCAAGCUGCAUCUGCAACCUACACCACAGCUCUCGGCAACGCUGGAUCCUUAACCCCCUGAGCGAGGCCAGGGAUCGAACCUGCAACCUCAUGGUUCCUAUUGGAUUUGUUUGCACUGUGCCAAGACAGGAACUCCCCCCGCCUUUUUUUUUUAAGGCGAUUUUAGUACAUUGUUUGGGAGCAGUCUUGUGGAAUAACCAAAUCUGUAUUGUGUUUUAUACAAAUACGGUUUAUGGAUAGUGGUAGAAAUGCAAUCAGAGAAAGUGUAAACAAGAGUUAAUGUUGUUCUAGUACCACCAGUAUAUAGUAUAAAAAGGGUUUGGUGAGGUUUUCCAAAGUAAGGGAUUAUUUCUCUUCUUAGUUUAAAAUUAAAUUUAUUAUGUUUUGGCAUAAUUGACUUGACCAAUUGUACUUUGGAAGAAAUAAUUUCAAUGUCUAAAAUGUUUUCAUUUGUUCUGGUUAAUUAAGUAAAAGUUAGGUUUACAUUGUAUACAUAAUAUUCACUUUCUUCAGGCCACAAACUAUUAUAAAUUGAUCCGUUUCACUUGGCAUAAAAUAAUCUUUCAGGAAAAAAAGCCUGUUUUUAUUUAUUUUUUAUUUUUUUGUUUUUUCUAGGGCCGCACCUGCAGCAUAUGGAGGUUCCCAGGCUAGGGGUCUAAUUGGAGCUGUAGCCACCGGCCUACACCAGAGCCACAGCAACAUGGGAUUCAAGCUGUGUCUGUGACCUACACCACAGCUCACGGCAACACCAGAUCCUUAACCCACUGAGCGAGGCCAGGGAUUGAACCCACAACCUCAUGGUUCCUACUCAGAUUUGUUAACCACUGAGCCACAACAGGAACUCCCAGACAAGCCUGUUUUUAAUAUGCUUAAAGAUUGAAAAGAAAAUAUAAGAACAACCAGAAGUUAAGAAGAGCUCAGUGUCAUUUGGAAAGAGCUAAUUAAUUAUGUUACUUGUAUUCUUUUGGAUAUAACAAAUAUUACAUAAAUUGAAAAACGUUAUUUCAAUUUUUAUUUAUUUAUUUGGCUGUACCUGCAACAUGUGGAAGUUCUUGAGCCAGGGACUGAACCUGUGCCACAGCAGCAACCUGAGCCACAGCAGUAGUACCGCUGGAUCCUUUCUCCACUGCACCACCAGGGAACUCCUUGUUUCAAUUUUUAAGGUAAAUACUUAAGGGAAUAUUCAUGAGGAUUUCAUCAAACUUUUGUUGAUUCCUAAUUGUGCUAUUUUCUUUCAGUAAAAUUAAUUGAAGAAAGUAAUAUUAAGUUAAGGUUCUAAUUUUUUUUUGUCUUUUUUUGUCUUUUCAGGGCCAUACCUAUAGCAUAUGAAGGUUCCUAGCCUAGGGUCCAAUUGGAGCUGUGGCUGCUGGCCUUCAUCACAACCACAGCAACAUGGGAUCAGAGCUGUGCCUGUGACCUAUACCAUGGUUCAUGGCAAUGCCGGAUCCUUAACCCACUGAGAGAAGCCAGGGAUUGAACCCACAUCCCUCGUGGAUACUAGUCGGGUUCGUUAACUGCUGAGCCAUGACAGGAACUCCUAAGGUUCUAAUUUUUUAUAGGUUAAGUUUUAUAAAAACUUGAUUAAGAAACAAUUCUUUAAGAUAUAAAAAAAAGGGAAACCAGAAAGCUAUGUUUUGUUCCUUGCUUUUUUUUUUUUUUUUUGACUACACAACAAAUUAGAAUAUUAGCAUGUUGCACAUCAGGAGUUCUCUGGUGGCCUGACAGUUAAGGACAUUGUCACUGCUGGGGCUUGGGUCUCUGGCCUGGGAACUUCCACAUGCCACAGGUGCAGUCAAAAAAUAAAAAGAAUAUUGCAUAUUAGAAUACUGCAAUGAUUCUACAAUACCUGAAGUAUGUCAUAUUAAAUUUUUAUAUGUAUUUUAUAUGUAAUACAUAAAAUCUUUAAAGUUUGAAGGAAUUUUCCCACUGGAAUAUAUUAUCCUUUUUUUUUAAGAAACUAGAAACAUAGAAAUACUAUAAACAGGAAAGAGGUAGAAUAUUUCAAUUUCUUUAUAAAAUUCUCUGUGCAGGCCUGUACUAAAAAUGUAGUUCCGAAUCCUCUAAAUCAGUAGUUAGUCCUGAGCUAGGUCUGAUCAUGUCUCCCCGGAGACAUUCAGCAAAGUCUGGAGAGAUUUUUGGUUGUCACAAUUGGAUGGGCAGUUAUACUGACAUUUACUGGGAAGAGGCCAGGGAUGCUGGUAAACAUCCUACUAUGCAAAGCAAAGUUACUGGUCCCAAACAAAAUGGUGCCAAAGUUGAGAAGUCUUGUUUACCAUCAGUGCUUUUCACUUCCAGGGUGUUUCACAUCUGUUAUUUAUAUAACUCAGAGUUUACUGAGUCCUUAUGGGUGGAUAGUAUUCAAAAUUGUUAGCCUUCUAGCAUUAAAAAAUUUAAAUAAAAUCUGCAUAACAUAAAAUUUGCUAUUUUAACCACUUUAUUUUAUUUUAUUUUUGUCUUUUUCCCUUUUUUCUAGGGCUGCUUCCCACGGCAUAUGGGGGUUCCCAGGCUAGGCGUCUAACUGGAGCCGUAGCUGCUGGCCUACACCACAGCCACAGCAACACCAGAUCCAAGCCACAUCUGCGACCUGCACCACAGCUCAUGGCAAUGCUGGAUCCUUAACCCACUGAGAAAGGCCAGGGAUCGAACCUGCAACCUCCUGGUUCCUAGUCAGAUUUGUUAACCACUGUGCCACGACGGGAACUCCUCCUAUUUUAACCAUUUUAAAGUGUACAGGUCAAUGGCAUUAAUUACGUGCAUUCAUGGUGUCGUGCAAGCCUCACUACCAGUCUCCAGAACUUUAUUAUUCUCAAGCUGAAACUCUGUACCCCUUAAACAAUAACUCCCCAUUCCCCACUCCCCCCAAACACCUGGUAGCUUCUGUUCUACCUUCUCUCUAUGAAUUUGUCCAUUCUAGUUACCUGGUAUAAGUGAAAUCAUACAGUAUUUGUUCUUUAUGGUUUUUUUUUUUUUUUUUAAUCUUUUUAGGGCUGCGCCUAUGGCAUAUGGAAGCCCAGGCAAGGGGUCAAAUCAGAGCUGCAGCUGCCAGCCUACACCACAGCCGCAGCCACACAGAUCCGAGGCUCAUCUGUGACCUACACCACAGCUCACGGCACUGCCGGAUCCUUAACCCACUGAUAGAGGCCAGAGAUCACAUCCUUGUCCUCAUGGAUACUAGUGGGGUUCAUUACCACUGAGCCACAGUGGGAACUCCGUUUCUAGUAUUUUUUUGUGUAUUUGUUGUUUUAGUUACUACGUUAGAGUGUUUUGCUGUGUGUUUGUAUGUUGGAGAAUGUUUUAUUUGACAGAGCAAUCAUAUUAUGUUUACUGACUGUGAUUUUCAGUAAUUUCUCUCUGUAAUAAAGGAUUGGAAUGAGUUAUUUAUAAUGUGGUUAUUUUAUAGCUCCUUUAAAUCUAGUAAACAAAAUAAGACAAGGACUUUUUCCUUAUAGUUUGUUUACAGUUUUAUUUGGAAAAAUGUAAAAACAGUCUACAUUCGAGGACUCAGUUGAUGUGGUAUUCCCACAAAUGAUGUUAUCAGUAAAUGAUAUUUUGAGGUUUUUUUGUUUUUUUUUAAUCCUGGAAAUCCAACAGUUGGAGCAAUUCAUUGGCAAUCUUCAACACAGAGUACAAAUUGUAUUAUAAUUAACUCUUGGAUUAAUAGUAUUCAGCUUGUCCAACCAAUUGACAAUUGUUUCUACAGCAAGCUCUAUUUUUAUAAGUGGAUUUGGUGGAGGCACUAGUCGCUUGUUGAUUUGUCUUGGAGAUGAUAAUUAGCUCAGUUCCCAGGAAUGUUACACUAAACAUUUUCAUUAACUAGUAGAAAUCAACCUAUUAAUUGAAUGUGAUUAUUUGUGCAUUUUUCUCAUUUGAACCAAAACAGUCUUUGCUUGUUCUGAUUUAUGAUUUUCUUGGUGAUAUGUUUGAUUUUAAAUAAAUGAAUUAAUAC